Malus domestica (apple) is the source of this 1106-nucleotide non-coding RNA. The record is from RefSeq and is a predicted model, not a curated record. Lineage: Eukaryota; Viridiplantae; Streptophyta; Magnoliopsida; Rosales; Rosaceae.
AACUUUCCCUCUCUGUCCCUAAUCAACGAUUGCCGGCGAUCAGCGCCCCCGCACCGCCGAUCUCCAACGGUCAUUUCUCCACCGUUUGCUGUUUCUCCACGACGCGUCGUUUUCAGAUAUAAUUCAUUGGCUUCAGGAUGAAACAUUGACAUUGUUUUGCUUGAUUUUUGAAGAAUUUGAUUUGUGGGUUUUGCGUUUUACGCAUUGGUUUCGUGUUUCGUUCGGUGUAUUCGAUCGACAGGCCUCGGAUAAAAGCUUGAUAGCUGCUGAAUUUACAUUCUUUUUGGUUAAAUUUUGGGACUUGGUAGAGGAAGUUGACUGGAACUUUGAUGUGUCUGUGUCACUAAACAGAUGGAUCUUGAAGCCAAGAGGUUUGGAAGUGGGCCUCGGGAACUUGGCGGUGCUGCUGAUCUCAUAAAUCAGUAUAAGCUUUGUCAUCAUCAUGAAUUCUUUUGCAAGAGAUCACUGCCCUUGUCAAUAUCAGAGACUCAUUAUCUACAUAAUGUGGUGGGAGACACAUCAAUCAGGAAGGGGGAAGGGAUGGAAUUAGAUCAGCUUGUUCAGAAAAACCUUUGUACGAGAGAAAAGUGGACAUAUACAUCCUUUUGAUUUGGGUAUACUUCAUGAAGCUUUUCCAUUAAGGGAAACAACUCGUGUUAAAUUGCCUUCUGCAGAGAAGGGGAUCCGUACCUCGGGGAAGUCAAAAAGUGAGGUUGAUAAAAAGGAGAGGAAGCAUAAAAAGCACAGAGACAAGGAUACAGAUCACAAGAAACACAGAAACCGUCACAAGGACAACAAUGGCGAUGCUGGUAUGAACAAGAAUACCGCUCAUGGCUUGACAACUGAGCAGUUGAAGGAACAAAAAGAUUGGUCCAUCCAGAAGAGGAGGCUUGCUGGUUUUGAAGAUCCUCCCGUCUCCGGACAUAAAAAAGCCAGAAUCAAACGCUGAAACACGUUGCGGAUUUUAAACUAGCAAAAGUAUUGUGAACCGUGUUUAUCAUGAAUCGCAUGUUACAGACUCACAUUGUCAAUUGACAAAAUGACAGAAAAUGCAACACCCAAAACAUUAUUGUUUAAUUUAUUUUUUCCUAUGUUGCUUUGUUUAA